CAUCAAAUCCCGGGCUGACAAGGUAAACAUCUGUCGUUCUGCCCCUGAACAUGGCAGUUGUCGCUGUCCCUCACCGGCACCCUGGGUGAUCCAGGAGAAGACAAGGGAGCUUCAGUGGACCCUCCUGAUGGGCGAGCAGGACAUACAGGAGGAGGAGGAGGAGUGAUAUGGGGACGAGAUACCUUGUAACAGGACAUUAUUUCAUAAUGAUUGCCUACAGUUCCCGUGUCGGGCUCUGCAAGGUUGGGUGACCAGAGCCAUCUGGGACUGCCUCCAGGAGGAAUUCAGGUGUGUGAAGGCUACCAGUGUCCUGCAUAACUUCAUGAGAUUGGACACGAGGACCAGGAGGGGAUCUGCAGCUCACCACCGUGUGCCAGAGGAUAAGUCUGCUGCUCUGCAGGAAGUUUCCAGGAUGGGGUCCAACAACGCAGCAAAGGGAGGCUAUCCAGGAGAUCUUCAGCUUCUACUUCUUCGAAGAGGGUUCUGUUCCGUGGCAACAUCAGACACUACACUAUGCACAACCAAAGGCUCUUCUAAGAGGGUGCUGUUCCCUGGCAACACCAUACACUACACUAUGCACAACCAAAGGCUCUUCUAAGAGGGUGCUGUUACCUGGCAACACCAGACACUACACUAUGCACAACCAAAGGCUCUUCUAAGAGGGUGCUGUUCCCUGGCAACACCAUACACUACACUAUGCACAACCAAAGGCUCUUCUAAGAGGGUGCUGUUACCUGGCAACACCAGACACUACACUAUGCACAACCAAAGGCUCUUCUAAGAGGGUGCUGUUCCCUGGCAACACCAUACACUACACUAUGCACAACCAAAGGCUCUUCUAAGAGGGUGCUGUUACCUGGCAACACCAGACACUACACUAUGCACAGCCAAAGGCUCUUCUAAGAGGGUGCUGUUCCCUGGCAACACCAGACACUACACUAUGCACAGCCAAAGGCUCUUCUAAGAGGGUGCUGUUCCCUGGCAACACCAGACACUACACUAUGCACAACCAAAGGCUCUUCUAAGAGGGUGCUGUUCCCUGGCAACACCAUACACUACACUAUGCACAACCAAAGGCUCUUCUAAGAGGGUGCUGUUACCUGGCAACACCAGACACUACACUAUGCACAGCCAAAGGCUCUUCUAAGAGGGUGCUGUUCCUGGCAACACCAGACACUACACUAUGCACAGCCAAAGGCUCUUCUAAGAGGGUGCUGUUCCCUGGCAACACCAGACACUACACUAUGCACAACCAAAGGCUCUUCUAAGAGGGUGCUGUUCCCUGGCAACACCAUACACUACACUAUGCACAACCAAAGGCUCUUCUAAGAGGGUGCUGUUACCUGGCAACACCAGACACUACACUAUGCACAACCAAAGGCUCUUCUAAGAGGGUGCUGUUCCCUGGCAACACCAUACACUACACUAUGCACAACCAAAGGCUCUUCUAAGAGGGUGCUGUUACCUGGCAACACCAGACACUACACUAUGCACAGCCAAAGGCUCUUCUAAGAGGGUGCUGUUCCCUGGCAACACCAGACACUACACUAUGCACAACCAAAGACUCUUCUAUUUUAUUUAUUUUUUGGACUUAAAGCUCAAAGCUUGUGGACCAGAAAUGGAUAGAAGAAGAAUAUUAUGUUGACUAUGUUCUUGCCUAUUAGUUGAACUGUACUGUAUUGUAUUCUUCCCCUGCAAUUCUCUGAAUAAAAAUGUCAAUUUCAAGGUGA
Molecule: long non-coding RNA, 1730 nt
Organism: Oncorhynchus nerka (sockeye salmon)
Lineage: Eukaryota; Metazoa; Chordata; Actinopteri; Salmoniformes; Salmonidae
Exons: 3
Source: RefSeq, a predicted model, not a curated record